UUGAAACUCUGUUUCCCGUACGAUCACCGAAGUUAAGCAACGUCGAGCCUGGUCAGUCCCUAGAUGGGUAACCACUUGGGAAUGCAGAUG
RNAcentral lists this ribosomal RNA (90 nucleotides) under Acanthosepion pharaonis. Lineage: Eukaryota; Metazoa; Mollusca; Cephalopoda; Sepiida; Sepiidae. The record is from RNAcentral.